Capsicum annuum is the source of this 119-nucleotide non-coding RNA. Lineage: Eukaryota; Viridiplantae; Streptophyta; Magnoliopsida; Solanales; Solanaceae. The record is from Rfam.
AGCCACGCGAUGCACAGAUAGCGAACUACUCUUUUGCCUUUUACUAAAGAAUACCGUGUGUACGUUGCAAAUAGGCCGGGGUCUAUCGGAAAUAGCCUCUCCACUUCUUCGGAGGUAGA